Molecule: ribosomal RNA, 557 nt
Filed under: Sphingomonas sp. HRRP163
Lineage: Bacteria; Pseudomonadati; Pseudomonadota; Alphaproteobacteria; Sphingomonadales; Sphingomonadaceae
Description: bacterial SSU rRNA
Rfam family: Bacterial small subunit ribosomal RNA
Source: RNAcentral
ACGGGUGCGUAACGCGUGGGAAUCUGCCCUUGGGUUCGGAAUAACAGUGAGAAAUUACUGCUAAUACCGAAUGAUGACUUAAGUCCAAAGAUUUAUCGCCCAGGGAUGAGCCCGCGUAGGAUUAGCUAGUUGGUGAGGUAAAAGCUCACCAAGGCGACGAUCCUUAGCUGGUCUGAGAGGAUGAUCAGCCACACUGGGACUGAGACACGGCCCAGACUCCUACGGGAGGCAGCAGUGGGGAAUAUUGGACAAUGGGCGAAAGCCUGAUCCAGCAAUGCCGCGUGAGUGAUGAAGGCCUUAGGGUUGUAAAGCUCUUUUACCCGGGAUGAUAAUGACAGUACCGGGAGAAUAAGCUCCGGCUAACUCCGUGCCAGCAGCCGCGGUAAUACGGAGGGAGCUAGCGUUAUUCGGAAUUACUGGGCGUAAAGCGCACGUAGGCGGCUUUGUAAGUUAGAGGUGAAAGCCUGGAGCUCAACUCCAGAACUGCCUUUAAGACUGCAUCGCUUGAAUCCAGGAGAGGUGAGUGGAAUUCCGAGUGUAGAGGUGAAAUUCGUAGA